GCUCUCCCCACACAAGAGGAUUUUGGUGUUUCUGUAUUAUACUAUUGAAAUGGAGAAUGUAUGUUUUUGAAAUGAUUGUAAAUUUGUUUUGGGUGCUUUAUUUAGAGAAGUUCAUUUUCGGGUUUGUAAAUGAGGAGCUUAUAUAUUUCGACAGUUGAUUACCUGGAAAUUAUUGUGUUAAAAAUGUCACCUAAUUUUUACAGAUCUUCAUAUUUGGGUGGGUGUUGGUACUAUGACAAUUGUAGUGUUUUUGGGUGGGCUUUGGUGCUAUCCCUUCAACUGAAUUCGUUUUUUUUUUGGAAUGGUAAUGCUAGCUAGUGGUUUUUUGCUUUUCUUUAUGCAAAUUCCAUCCGUAGUAGUCUUUUAAUUUGGGUUUUAUGUUUUAUCCUGAAGCAAAUUCCAGCCACAGUUACAUGUCCAUUGGAGAAAAUUGUUUCAUUUACAUUUGGGUAUAUUGCUACUUGCCAAUUCGAAUAUUAUUGUGAUGUGUUUUUUUCGUUGUUAUAUUAGAAUUCGUCGAUGGCUAGAAGAAAUAAGGGGUAUGUCAUUCAUGUAGACGGGUAGGACACAUGUUGCCAGAUUGUCCCUGAAAGAGAAGAUGUCCAAACUGUGGCCAAGGCUAUGUUAAAUGGAUGGAGAUGGAAAAGCAAAGCGAUAACAAAGGGCGUUUGUUCCAUCGUUGUACCUGUGAUGUAUGUCGAUUUUUCGAACUGGAAUAAAUCUCCUCUUGCCGCAGUAUAUCCCUUGCAAGAUGAAGGUCAAUCAAGUGGCAUCUCUAAUGGUAGUGAAGCCGUCGAUGAUUUGUCACAUAUGUUGGAAAUGUGUGCUAACAUAACCGAGAAAAAAGACAUUGAGAUCUUUCUCAACAUCAUAACAAUUCGAAAGGGACAACGGGAUUCGGAAGAUGUUCUAUGAACUUUGAUGUAAUGGGAUGGUUUAAGAAUAUUUAAUCUUCGGUGUCAUGCGUUAACUAAUGAUUUUGUAAAUGUUUCAAGACAGCUUGGAUCCAUAAAUUUCAGUAGGUU
RNAcentral lists this long non-coding RNA (1025 nucleotides) under Olea europaea subsp. europaea. Lineage: Eukaryota; Viridiplantae; Streptophyta; Magnoliopsida; Lamiales; Oleaceae. The record is from RNAcentral.